UACGGGGGGGAGCAAGCGUUGUUCGGAUUUACUGGGCGUAAAGGGCGCGUAGGCGGCCACCGCAAGUCGACUGUGAAAUCUCCGGGCUUAACCCGGAAAGGUCAGCCGAUACUGCGGGGCUAGAGUGCAGAAGGGGCAACUGGAAUUCUCGGUGUAGCGGUGAAAUGCGUAGAUAUCGAGAGGAACACCUGCGGCGAAGGCGGGUUGCUGGGCUGACACUGACGCUGGAGGCGCGAAAGCUAGGGGAGCGAACGGG
RNAcentral lists this ribosomal RNA (256 nucleotides) under uncultured bacterium. RNAcentral describes it as "partial 16S ribosomal RNA". It matches the Rfam family "Bacterial small subunit ribosomal RNA", at positions 524 to 776 of the family's 1533-position model. The record is from RNAcentral.